AACGAACGCUGGCGGCAUGCCUAAUACAUGCAAGUCGAACGAGAAAGUUCCUUCGGGAGCGAGUAAAGUGGCGCACGGGUGAGUAACACGUAGGUGACCUACCUAGUAGAGUGGGAUAACAGUAAGAAAUUAUUGCUAAUACCGCAUAAGUUCGCUGAAAGUGGAAGUAAGCGAAGAAAAGAUGGCCUCUAUUUAUAAGCUAUCGCUACAUGAAGGGCCUGCGGCUCAUUAGCUAGUUGGUGGGGUAAAGGCCUACCAAGGCUAUGAUGAGUAGCCGGUCCGAGAGGAUGAUCGGCCACACUGGAACUGAGACACGGUCCAGACUCCUACGGGAGGCAGCAGUAGGGAAUAUUGCGCAAUGGGGGCAACCCUGACGCAGCGAUGCCGCGUGAGUGAGGAAGGCCUCGGGUUGUAAGACUCUGUCGUAAGGGAAAAGUAGGAUAGUAUGUGAAUAAUAUA
Molecule: ribosomal RNA, 459 nt
Filed under: uncultured bacterium
Lineage: Bacteria
Description: bacterial SSU rRNA
Rfam family: Bacterial small subunit ribosomal RNA
Source: RNAcentral